This 484-nucleotide ribosomal RNA is filed under the name uncultured bacterium. RNAcentral's name for it is "partial 16S ribosomal RNA". It matches the Rfam family "Bacterial small subunit ribosomal RNA", at positions 30 to 507 of the family's 1533-position model. The record is from RNAcentral.
AUUGAACGCUGGCGGCAGGCCUAACACAUGCAAGUCGAGCGGAAGAAGGGAGCUUGCUCCUGUGUUCAGCGGCGGACGGGUGAGUAAUGCCUAGGAAUCUGCCCGGUCGUGGGGGAUAACGUCCGGAAACGGGCGCUAAUACCGCAUACGUUCUGAGGGUGAAAGUGGGGGAUCUUCGGACCUCACGCUAUCAGAUGAGCCUAGGUCGGAUUAGCUAGUUGGUGGGGUAAAGGCCUACCAAGCCGACGAUCCGUAACUGGUCUGAGAGGAUGAUCAGCCACACUGGAACUGAGACACGGUCCAGACUCCUACGGGAGGCAGCAGUGGGGAAUAUUGGACAAUGGGCGAAAGCCUGAUCCAGCCAUGCCGCGUGUAGGAAGAAGGUCUUCGGAUUGUAAAGCACUUUAAGUUGGGAGGAAAGGGAGUAAGCUAAUACCUUGCUCUUAUGACGGUACCGAAAGAAUAAGCACCGGCUAACUUCGUG